Molecule: non-coding RNA, 343 nt
Organism: Camelina sativa (false flax)
Lineage: Eukaryota; Viridiplantae; Streptophyta; Magnoliopsida; Brassicales; Brassicaceae
Source: RefSeq, a predicted model, not a curated record
UUUUUCACACUGUUCGAACAUCUGAUGAGAACUUGAAGGACUUUAUUACAUGGGGUCUUGGGACUCUAGUUUCCAUUGUGCGCCAGCACAUACGCAAGUAUCUGCCAGAGCUGCUGUCACUAGUCUCUGAACUAUGGUCAUCCUUCACCUUGCCAGGUCCCGUCCGCCCCUCUCGUGGUCUUCCGGUUCUGCAUCUACUGGAACAUCUUUGCUUGGCACUUAAUGAUGAAUUCAGAACUUAUCUUCCUGUCAUCCUUCCAUGUUUCAUCCAAGUAUUAGGUGACGCGGAGCGGUUUAAUGAUUACAUCUACGUUCCUGAUAUUCUCCACACGCUCGAAGUGUU